GAUGAACGCUGGCGGCGUGCUUAAUACAUGCAAGUCGAGCGAACAGAUGAGGAGCUUGUUCCUUUGACGUUAGCGGCGGACGGGUGAGAAACACGUGUAUAACCUCCUUAUAAGACUGGGAUAACUACGGGACACCGGAGCUAAUACCGGAUAAGAUAUUGAACCGUAUGGUUCAUUAGUGAAAGACGGUUUUGCUGUCACUUAUAGAUGGAUCCGCGCCGCAUUAGCUAGUUGGUGAGGUAACGGCUUACCAAGGCGACGAUGCGUAGCCGACCUGAGAGGGUGAUCGGCCACACUGGAACUGAGACACGGUCCAGACUCCUACGGGAGGCAGCAGUAGGGAAUCUUCCGCAAUGGGCGAAAGCCUGACGGAGCAACGCCGCGUGAGUGAUGAAGGUCUUCGGAUCGUAAAACUCUGUUAUUAGGGAAGAACAAAUGUGUAAGUAACUAUGCACGUCUUGACGGUACCUAAUCAGAAAGCCACGGUUAACUACGUG
RNAcentral lists this ribosomal RNA (497 nucleotides) under uncultured bacterium. RNAcentral describes it as "partial 16S ribosomal RNA". It matches the Rfam family "Bacterial small subunit ribosomal RNA", at positions 28 to 507 of the family's 1533-position model. The record is from RNAcentral.